RNAcentral lists this ribosomal RNA (468 nucleotides) under uncultured bacterium. RNAcentral describes it as "partial 16S ribosomal RNA". It matches the Rfam family "Bacterial small subunit ribosomal RNA", at positions 28 to 507 of the family's 1533-position model. The record is from RNAcentral.
GAUGAACGCUGGCGGCGUGCUUAACACAUGCAAGUCGAACGGAAAGGCCCAAGCUUGCUUGGGUACUCGAGUGGCGAACGGGUGAGUAACACGUGGGUGAUCUGCCCUGCACUUCGGGAUAAGCCUGGGAAACUGGGUCUAAUACCGGAUAGGACGAUGGUUUGGAUGCCAUUGUGGAAAGUUUUUUCGGUGUGGGAUGAGCUCGCGGCCUAUCAGCUUGUUGGUGGGGUAAUGGCCUACCAAGGCGUCGACGGGUAGCCGGCCUGAGAGGGUGUACGGCCACAUUGGGACUGAGAUACGGCCCAGACUCCUACGGGAGGCAGCAGUGGGGAAUAUUGCACAAUGGGCGCACGCCUGAUGCAGCGACGCCGCGUGGGGGAUGACGGCCUUCGGGUUGUAAACUCCUUUCGCUAGGGACGAAGCGUUUUUGUGACGGUACCUGGAGAAGAAGCACCGGCUAACUACGUG